RNAcentral lists this transfer RNA (76 nucleotides) under Mycoplasmataceae bacterium. RNAcentral's name for it is "tRNA-Asp". It matches the Rfam family "tRNA". From Rfam's summary of the family: Transfer RNA (tRNA) molecules are approximately 80 nucleotides in length. The record is from RNAcentral. Lineage: Bacteria; Bacillati; Mycoplasmatota; Mollicutes; Mycoplasmatales; Mycoplasmataceae.
GGUCCUAUGGUAUAGCGACUUAUUAUGCCCGCCUGUCACGCGGGCGAUACGGGUUUGACUCCCGUUGGGACCGCCA